AGUCCUCCUUCCAAGAAUGUGUUAAGUCCCUGGUAAGUGUACCAGAUCGUUAUCAAGUAAUAUAAAACGGGUAAGUCCGAGUAUCGUUUCCCAAAGUACUCUUAGGCCUUAACUUUCAUGUAAACCAAUCGCAUAAGACUUGAGAAAAGAAUUAAAUUUAGGUUUUGAAUGCAAAGAACAAAAGUAAACAUGCAAGAUGCGGUGAAUCAAUUGGCGAGAAAAGACUAUGGAUGAAUGGAGUUGUUGGGGUUUACAAUUUCAUCUUAUCCACCCUCUUAUAUCUACUCUUCUUAUCUAAUUUGCUUAUUUAUCAUAUUGUCAUGCAAACUUUCUUAGUCUACCCUAAACCCAAUCUCUUGGCGAAAAAAGCCUAUUACUGUUAACAAAUUGGCAAGUGAUA
This 400-nucleotide long non-coding RNA is filed under the name Vigna radiata. RNAcentral describes it as "long non-coding RNA (VRAD_LNC018529)". The record is from RNAcentral. Lineage: Eukaryota; Viridiplantae; Streptophyta; Magnoliopsida; Fabales; Fabaceae.